This is a non-coding RNA of Paramuricea clavata, 966 nucleotides long. The record is from the annotation of a GenBank genome assembly. Lineage: Eukaryota; Metazoa; Cnidaria; Anthozoa; Malacalcyonacea; Plexauridae.
ACGGUGCAUACCCGAACUAAACUGUACACAUAUAUUUAAAAUAUAUCAAGCAUGCAAUAACUGUGUCUAAGUACGAAGUAGAUUUAAUUGAGUCUUAAAUUGAGACAGGGAACUAACGUUUGCAACUGAGCUGUUCAAAUUGUUGAAGUCCAUCGAAGCGUAGUAAGUCGGUCUAAGUUUACCCCAGUUCGUGUUGGCUUUUGGAAGAUGAAGGUUGUUGCAGGAUCUUGUGUUGUAGGAAUGAAUACAGUUGUUAGUUGUUAGUUUAAAGUCAAAAUCUAACAGUCCAUCAGUACAUUUGUAGAUGAAGAUACAGCGAUGUUUAUAUCUGCGGGAGGAGAGAGGUAACGAAUGAAGGGUAGCGAGGGCUUCGGUCGCUGAAGAGAAAGGAGGAAGAUCUAGAAUCAAUUUAGCGGCUUUAUUUUCCAAAGUCUGCAAACUGUUCAUGAGUCCAGUGUUGUUCUUGUCACCCCAAAUAAUGUCUGCGUAGUCAAAUAACGGUAGAAUUGUAGCUGUAUAGAAAAUUAAUCAUGCAUUUAAUGGUAGUAAUGAUUUGACUCGGCGUAAUAUUCCAAGUCUUUGAUUGAUCUUGUCAUCAAGUUCUCGAUAUAUUCAUUCCAGGAGAGAUUUUCACUGAUCGUGAUACCCAGGUAUUCCAAUGCGUGAUCUUGAUUAAUCUUUCGAUCGUAGAUAGUGAUGUUGAGGCUAGAGAUUGUUUUUAAACGUUGUCUACCAGCAAAGAUUAUAAAUUUCGUCUUGUCAUGAUUGAGUGUUAGGAGGUUGUGGUUCAGAUAAGUGGAGAGGGAUUGAAGGUCGGAGUUGAGUUUUGACUGAAGUUCUGAGAUAUUGUCUGCAGAAUAGUAAAGAAGCGUAUCAUCAGCAUAGGGUAUCGACUUGCAGUGUUUGAGGCAUUCAGGUAGGUCAUUAAUGUAAAUUAGGAAGAGAAGAGGUCCGAGAAUACUUCCC